RNAcentral lists this non-coding RNA (45 nucleotides) under Schistosoma haematobium. The record is from RNAcentral. Lineage: Eukaryota; Metazoa; Platyhelminthes; Trematoda; Strigeidida; Schistosomatidae.
AUCCAGUUGAUGAACCGCAAAUAGGACGAAACAUGCGUCCUGGAU